UAACUGCUGAGCCAUCUCCUCAGCCCCCUUAAAUAAUUUUCUUAUAACUAAUAAGGUUUUUAAGUUAGGACUCAAAAAAUGUCCAUGCAUUACCUCAAUGUUCUUUCCUCUCUCUUCAGUUUGCGUCUGAUACCUAGACAUAGUCAGCCUGUGAUAGAGCUGCAGAUGAAGGGGCCUCUUUGUAACAAGUACCACUCAUCUUCCUCUGGUACCAAUCUCCUGGCUUGGUGCCAGUUCAGCUUCCUAGCCAACUGGACGCAGCCUCCUCCAAAGGACAGCAAACUACAGCACCACAGCGGACUCUGAUGUGCACUGCUCCCAUGGAUCGUUGGUAAUUAGGGGACAGACCUCGAGAGCACCGGAUACUGAGCUAAUGGCAAUUACAAUCCAAGAAAUAAGACCACGUCCACUCUCUGUCACCACUGUGUCUCACACCAUCAAGGGGGCCAUGAGGGCUCUGACUGGUCUGGAAUGUGCUGUGCAGACCAGGCCGACCUAGAAGUCAAGCACAGAGAUGAAAGGCACACACCACCACCCUUAGUUUAAUUUCAUUUUGAACACUGAGUUGCUGCAUCGUUCUUCAGGCUGCCACGAAGAACUAAGACUUUUGUCUCCUUGUAACUUUUGUUCUUCUGGCCCUAACAUGGUGCUGGUGAGAUUGAAGUCAAAUAAUUUGAGUUGGCUGUAAAGUUGAACAUUUCACUGUGAUGAAUAUGUGUGGUUUCAUAUUGCCUUCUGACCGGGCAUUUGGUAAGCAUUUUAUGUUCCCUUGGUUGUUCCUCUUUUGUACCUUGUACGAGUGCCAGUCUUAAAUUUGCCAGAGAGAGAAAAAUGCAACUGAAAUAAGUCAGGUAAAGAAAAAAGAUUGUGUAAUUGCAAGAUCCUGUGAGGUGGAGGGGGGGAGAGGAAGAGGGAG
Molecule: long non-coding RNA, 916 nt
Organism: Mus musculus (house mouse)
Lineage: Eukaryota; Metazoa; Chordata; Mammalia; Rodentia; Muridae
Product: predicted gene, 35429
Exons: 3
Source: RefSeq, a predicted model, not a curated record